CCUACGGGUGGCAGCAGUGAGGAAUAUUGGUCAAUGGGCGGAAGCCUGAACCAGCCAAGUAGCGUGCAGGAUGACGGCCCUACGGGUUGUAAACUGCUUUUAUACGGGAAUAACGCGCCUUACGUGUAGGGCUUUGCAUGUACCGUAUGAAUAAGGACCGGCUAAUUCCGUGACAGCAGCGGCGGUAAUACGGAAGGUCCGGGCGUUAUCCGGAUUUAUGGGGUUUAAAGGGAGCGUAGGCCGCAGUUCAAGCGUGAUGUGAAAUGUCCGGGAUCAACCCGGGCCUUGCAGCGCGAACGGGCGUGCUUGAGUCCGCGGAAAGCAGGCGGAAUUCGUCGUGUAGCGGUGAAAUGCUUAGAUAUGACGAAGAACCCCGAUUGCGAAGGCAGCUUGCUGCAGCGGAACUGACGCUGAUGCUCGAAAGCGCGGGUAUCGAACAGGAUUAGAUACCCUUGUAGUC
Molecule: ribosomal RNA, 460 nt
Filed under: uncultured bacterium
Lineage: Bacteria
Description: partial 16S ribosomal RNA
Rfam family: Bacterial small subunit ribosomal RNA
Source: RNAcentral